This is a long non-coding RNA of Daphnia pulex (common water flea), 300 nucleotides long. RefSeq lists it as uncharacterized. Lineage: Eukaryota; Metazoa; Arthropoda; Branchiopoda; Diplostraca; Daphniidae. The record is from RefSeq and is a predicted model, not a curated record. The transcript is spliced from 2 exons.
AACUAACAUAAUAAUCAUGCGUUUUUUUUUGAUAAAAAAAUCAGUCUCAUUUGAGAUUUUACAUCCAAUAAAACGGCGUUAUUGUGAUAAAUCUCUGGAUCUGUUUCAACAAGCUCGAAAAUGGGCUAGAACAAAUCUUUUCACAUAUGGAACUCGCAGAACUGUUUACAGCAAAUAUGGAAAUGGUUUAAUUAGAUUAAAAUAUGUUCCUUCAAAUAGCACUCAUUGUAUUGAUUCCCCCUAUCAAUAAAAAUUGGCAAAUUUUUGUGGGUCAAAGUACUGUAUAAAAUAGAAGAAAAA